This 271-nucleotide unclassified non-coding RNA is filed under the name uncultured fungus. RNAcentral's name for it is "partial contains small subunit ribosomal RNA, internal transcribed spacer 1, and 5.8S ribosomal RNA". The stretch from base 1 to 73 matches the Rfam family "Eukaryotic small subunit ribosomal RNA", at positions 1759 to 1831 of the family's 1831-position model. The record is from RNAcentral. Lineage: Eukaryota; Fungi.
ACAAACUUGGUCAUUUAGAGGAAGUACAAGUCGUAACAAGGUUUCCGUAGGUGAACCUGCGGAAGGAUCAUUAACAAAUCACGGUGUUGUUGCGCGUUGACAUAACAUUAUAUCAACACCCAACAACAACACCACAUAUGUGCUCCGGGCAUUUCGUCUGGUUGCAUCAUUAUAUAUAUAUUCAUUAUUGUAUAGUUGUAUUUUUAGUUAUAAAAAAAUGUACACUUUUAACAAUGGAUCUCUUGGCUCUUGCAUCGAUGAAGAACGCAGC